UGCAUUGCUUCUGUGCAUUGCACACAACCAUUGAAACCUAAACUAGGACAGCUACAGACAGUUGCCUGUGUACAAAUCUGGGUAUGCAGCUUUGGAAAAGAACAUCUUAAUUUUCUUCUCCUCUGGUCCUGUGAAGAUUUAUGAUUUGACUGUGAAGCUGGACGCAACCCAGAGAUUAGUAACCAGUUUAAAUAUUGCCAAAGUUUGGAUGCAGUCAGGCGAGUUUGCUUCAUCUCUUAAGUUCCUUGUUAUUUGUAUUUAAUUGGUGUUUUUUCCUAUUUUAGAUGUAUUCAGAUAAAACUUUUCUGACUCAUACA
Molecule: long non-coding RNA, 317 nt
Organism: Neopsephotus bourkii (Bourke's parrot)
Lineage: Eukaryota; Metazoa; Chordata; Aves; Psittaciformes; Psittacidae
Exons: 2
Source: RefSeq, a predicted model, not a curated record